GAAAAAUCCGCCAGAUGGCAAUACGUAGACGCGAGGUCCAAAUGCAUGAUUGGUUAUUUUUGACAUGACAUUGACAGAUAUGUCAAAAUCCACCAAUCACGCAGCAGUCAGACCCCACAUCCACGUCCCGCCAUCUAGCGGAUCUUUCAUUCGCGAAAACCCUCAUUGUUACUAUGCGAGGAAAGUCGAAAUCAAGUUAUUAAAAUCUAAAUUGAUGAAGAGAAUUGGGUCAUUGGAUUAGUCUAGCCACACUGCUAAAAACGGGUGGUUCAAUUUGCGCCCGAUUCGCGUUUCUCCCGCGCGGCGUGACUAGGGAAACGCGAAGGCCGAGUCUGCAACGACCCGCAUGAGGGGCCGACCUAUGAGCACGGAUCCUCGACCGAGCGUCAGGUAUCGGCGAGCUUGAGGCGUUGUCCGCUAGUCGUCGACGUCAAUCGAGUGAGGUGACGUUAUCGAUAUCGUAAAACUGUUCUCGAUUCUUAUUCAUCAUGUUGCCAGCUUGGUCAAAUCAAUCCGCUUUUGGACUAUUUCUCGCAUCGCUUAUCUCUAAUUUUUUCUUUAUUAACUAAGAAGCUGAACUUAAAAAGCUGACAGUGUUGUUUCAUUUUACUAUGCAUCCAAGUGAGAAACUUGAAAGAUUGAAUGAGCUUGCUGCUUGAUUUCACUAGAUGGGAGAUGCGAUCUAUCUAUAAAUGAACCAAAACUGUAUAAUGCAAUAUAUUGUAUUAUAGUAUUUGAUUAUGUUCCGCCACUUUGCUCGAUUGCUACUCGAUUACUCGCGGACAGUAUACGCGAUUUAGUAGACUGGUGAUCUCGAUCGUCCCUUGGACUGAGUUUGGAGUCAUCGGCCCUCGUGUAAAUCAAUUUUGAGGUUCGAACUCGGCAUGUUAGAUAUUGUCUCUCUAUUUGUGAUGGUAAAACGUAAUUAGGGCGAAUUGAGAUUAUUGUAUAAAAUAUUAGUACUCGAGUUCGUCUUUUAUCCUCUUACUUUAUUCAUGUAAAUUUUUUGGAAUAUUGUGAUCGAUUUAACGAGGGCCGGAUGGUAAAGAAAGCUUUACUGUGUGAAGGUUAAUUGAUAUUGGCUAAGUGUUUUUUUUUGUUUGAUGAGAAAUUUUAAAUUUAAAUGCUUUGGAAAUGAGAUUUUGUGAACUACUGCUAAGCAGCCCGAGACAUUAUCACUGGUAUUUGCAAUGUAUUUACAACGAUAGUCGUGCUCCUAUGUCGUUGCGUCCUCGAACAGGUAUGCAAUUCUUUAUCUGUUUUAUCAGUUAAAACACUGGCAAUUAAAAGAUAUAUACUAUUUCAUAAUCUAAUAUUUAAUAAUUCAGGGCUUAUAGUAAGUGUGGGGAUAAGAUUUCAUAUUUCUAUCCGGUCGUUAUAAAUCAUUAUGUUAAGUUUCUGUGUACAUGUUGAUUUUGUUGUUGAAUGAAAAGAUAGAAUUAGGAAUGGUCUUGUUUUGUGUGAGUUAGGUAGGUGGACUAGCAUUUAAAGUUGGCGACGAUGAGUCGGUCACCUUAGGUGUAAAGAAUUGCCUGCCUGUUUAGUGCACACGCUCACUGCCCUCCGUAUUGGCACGCUCAGUCCCUCCUACUACAGCUCACGCGAGCGUCAAUUUAACUUUACUGUUAACAUAGUUGUAAAAGUAAGCCUAUCCUGAUUGUGAAUGAUGUUAUUGUAAAAGGUAAUGGGCGUUUGCGGUCGAUGUACCGAUAUUGUAACAUUCGAUUAGGAUAGUCAUAGCUAGUUCUGACAUAAAUGAUGUUUGAGAUGUAUCCAGGCUUCAAAAAUUGCGGCAGUGGGUUUUUAUUAUUAUAGGCUGUGUAAAUUCACCCGCGAGAGGUGUAAGGAUCGAAGUUAUGAUUGUAAUCUAUUCGAUAUAUCACUCUCUGGGUCCCUCUCACUACUUCCAUGCGAUGUUCGUAGGGUAGGAUGUAUGAUAUGUUGAAUGUUGCGCCCUCAAGGGCGGAUUGUUGUAUUCGAUGCACUUAUGGGAGUAGUGAAUGAACCCUUGGAUUCAAUUCAAUUAUGCAAAUUUUCACUUAAACAUUAUAUUUUUUUUCAAUGUUAUAAUAAAAAAGUAUAUUAUGCAUUAAUAA
Long non-coding RNA from Ostrinia nubilalis (European corn borer), 2096 nucleotides. RefSeq lists it as uncharacterized. Lineage: Eukaryota; Metazoa; Arthropoda; Insecta; Lepidoptera; Crambidae. The transcript has 2 exons. The record is from RefSeq and is a predicted model, not a curated record.